This is a non-coding RNA of Osmia lignaria (orchard mason bee), 2206 nucleotides long. The record is from RefSeq and is a predicted model, not a curated record. Lineage: Eukaryota; Metazoa; Arthropoda; Insecta; Hymenoptera; Megachilidae.
UCUAGAAACAAUAAAAUUGCAAAAAUUUCUUUUUCUUAUUUUUGAUGAAUUUGUAUCAGCUGCGUUCCAUUUUAUUAUACCGUAGUUAAUUCCUUCGGUUUCGAAUUCGUUACAAAGUGUCUCUCGACUAAUUAUAAUCUUAUCAUCCCUAGACGUCUUCUCUUAAUUAGUGAUGCAAAGCGAGACGAAUGAAUUCUAUCGUAUUUAUUUUUAUAUAAUUGAAGGAUGAAUGUAUAAAUGGCAGCACAUUUUUGAUAAUUUUUUGAUAAACUGCGCGAAAUCUUGUUUAAAAGUUGUAGCUAAGUAGUUUUUAAAAAUACACGUUAUAUCAAUGUUUUUAUAUCUACUUUAUUUCAUUUAAUGUAUUAUAUAUUAUACAAUAUUCGUAUAAUAUGUAAUAUAUACAAUUAUGUCGUAAUAAAGAAUUAUUAUUGAAUCAUUCAAUUGCACUAAUUAUAAUUAACAAGUUGUUAAUGAAUAAUUUAGUGAAUUGUUUCGCUAGUGUAUCUAAAUAGAAUUUUCUUUCAGCUAAUUAUAUCUCAGGUUGAUAUUGUUACAUACGAUCGAUAAUCCGAAUCAAUAAUAACGUAAAAGAGACUGAAGUUAAAAGAAGCAAUAAAUAAAAGUUUGCUGUUCAAUCUAUACGAUUAAUUAGGAAGAAAUCGAGUACGCUUGUUCGAUAGUUCAAUUAAUAUCGACUACAAAGAAGCGAGCAUUCGAGUUAUCAAUCAUCGAUGAAUACUGUGCAAAAAAGACAUUAUCAACAAAUGUAAAUUUUUCCGUCAUAUUAAUAUUUAAAAUACUGUUACUAGAGAAUAUAUUUCACUAUAUAAGUUACAAAGUUAUCGUAUCGGCAAGAUAUUACAAAAAUAACAUAAAAAAUAUAAUACAUUAAUUUAAAAACAUAGCUGUUCGAUAAAAUUGAAAUUGCGUGCGCAGAAGCGUACAGGAAAUUUCGAUAAACGUUAUAGAAUACCGAUCAACAAUCGAAUUGAUCCGAUAUUUAAAAAGUUAUCAGUGCAAAAUUCGCGUAACAAGCCUUAACACCGUAAACGUGAGCAAACAGUUGUACUACGUCUGUGGUUUCAUCAAGGUUUUUAUUAACCUCCUUGAAGUUUGUGAAUUUAACUCUGCAACGUAUCGAUCGAUCGUUUACGAUCUGAAAUUUCAACUUACCUUUUGCCGUACUGCUGCUCUAAUGUGCCUGUAACGAGGCAACGAUCGAAGAUCGGAACUGUCAAAUGUCCAAGGAAGGAAUAACUAAAAUGUCAGUUGAAACGAAGAGGUAUAUGAGAGGGCUGAUUAAGCCGGUACGCGAAUCCAUGAAUAAUCUUCAGUCGAUUGCCGCGUGAUGGCUGCGUGUUCCAGCAGCGGAACGAUGCCAUUCCAGUGCAGGUUCCAACGAUACCGGUCAGAGGAUGAAAACAUUGCACUUUGUAUUCUAGCGGUCGUUAGUCGCGUGAACACAUGCAUACACAGCAUGGAAUACAUAGAGCUUGUUACAAUGUUUGUCAGCGAACGUACUAGGAGAUAGUAACGCUGAAAAUGGUACAAUCUUGAGGAAAAAACAUGAUAAAUAAUCAGAUUAUUUCUAGAAUCCUACGAGAAACGAUUAAUUAAUGUAAAACUAUUUUGGUACUUCGAUUAAAUUCUUGUCAAGCAAUUUAGGUAGGAAGAUACACAUAUGUACGUAUACAGUACGUAUGUAUAGUCUCUGAAAAUAAAUACUUACAUAGGUACCACUUAAAAUAGUAUCUAAAUUAUGAAGCUGUUAACCAAAGGAGGACGAGUUAACAAGUUGAUAUAUUAUGUAAAACGCGAUUGAGUAAUUAUUAGCAUACAUAUUUGUAGUAGACAUAAAUUCAUGAGUUAACUCAUCCUUACACAUCAACAAUUGUUUGAAAUAUAAGGAAGACAUGCACGAUGCAUCUUUUAUUACUGAAUAGCUUUAAUGAUAUGCCUAAGUGUUCUCCGUGAAACUAAAAUUUCCAUUGAAGCGGACGUAUAAUUCCGAUGAAUCCAGGGAGUGUUGCAAACGGACGAAAGUCCCACCGACCAUAAAAUAUGCAGUCACGGUCGAUGAAGACCUCAUCCGGACACACCACUCUUGAUCAGAUACCAUGUAUUUGAACUUCAACUUGAAUUCUGAAACUUUUCGCAAAAAUAAUGCAGGAUGUCUGAAAAAAUAAAGGUGAUCAUUACUAUA